UGUAAACCGAAGAUGUGAUUCAUUUUCUUUCAAAAUAGAGGAUGCUUCCUGUUACUCUGCAUCAUUGGUAAUCUAUUGAUGUGAUAGAGAAUGUGUAUUUAAAGUUGCAACAGUAAGAUAAGUUAUCUUCCUUGAUAAUAAAGAGAGGAAUUAGAUUCCAUUGUAAAAAAUGAGAGAGGUGAGAAGCUGCACCUAGUACCCAGCUGGAAGGUGCCAUUCAGAAAGAUGAGGCUGAUGGUCAUUGCGGUGUUGCAUACUGAAAUCUUAGGAGAGAUGUGUCAGAGCUGUGGUUAAGUGCUACCCGUCCCAUAUGUGAUUAACGGUUUAGAACUACUGCAUUAAAAAGGGCCAAUCUACUUUCAUUGAAGAUCAAGACCUGAAUGACCAACUUCCUCAGCCAGAUUCCGCAAGGUCUUAACUUUUGGCUUGGUUGUUUUGCAUACAUGUUUGAACUUACAUCUAUGGUGGCAUCGGAGUGGCUUAUUCAUUUAUUAGGUAGUGAUGAUAGUAUGAUUGUAGUUAUAAACUAACCACAUGAAUAUCCAUUGUAUUAGGCUAGCCAAGAUAUAGAUAGCAAUCUCCCUCCCUUGGUCUAGCACUAACCCAUCUCUUAGAUAGCAGGCUCGGUUUCGAAUGUGUAUCGAAACUGGGAAAUUGGUUCCUGAUUGAACAAAUACUGAUGGAAACUUUUCAUGAAGUCAAUCCGGGAUUUGAAGGGAAUUUGCAGACAUCGUAGGUAGCAUAGAUUUAUUGAAAGAUCGUAGUUACUGGCUGAGAGGCUGACUGUAACAAUGGUCUCCAUUGUGAAUCCAUAGAAAUUCCUACUUCUUCCAAUAAAAUUUGAAUGUGAUUCUUUUUUUCAGUUUUUGGGAUA
Molecule: long non-coding RNA, 874 nt
Organism: Cucurbita maxima (winter squash)
Lineage: Eukaryota; Viridiplantae; Streptophyta; Magnoliopsida; Cucurbitales; Cucurbitaceae
Exons: 2
Source: RefSeq, a predicted model, not a curated record